Molecule: long non-coding RNA, 3753 nt
Organism: Tetranychus urticae (two-spotted spider mite)
Lineage: Eukaryota; Metazoa; Arthropoda; Arachnida; Trombidiformes; Tetranychidae
Source: RefSeq, a predicted model, not a curated record
UGUUAACUCUUUUUUUAUUUUCGGUUACAAGACAAAUUAUGAUUUACAAUUUCAAUUAGAAUCUAUAAAAUCAAUUAGUUAAUUUGUUCUAAAUAAUGUUCAAUUGUACAAUUUAGUGAUGCAUUAGUAUGGAAAGCUAUGCUGUUUUUUUCUCGUUAAAACCAGAAAAGUCUCGUAAGUUACGAGUAGUAACUCAACAUGCAUUGCAAUAUGAUGAAGAUUACUGGUUGAAAAAGUGGAUUUGAUAAAUGUUUCAAUUGAUGCUGAUGAGAACAAUCAUGUAAUUGCUGUUAAUCCAGUUGAUGAAAACCAAGAGGAACUAAAAUCUGGGUUUCUGAUGAAAAACAAGGAGACAUUGACAUGGGUACAAAUUUUGCUUCUGUUAAUAAGGUGACCCCAUUUUAACCUCAAGUCAUCCUAAGGUUUUUAUCGUUAUUUCUUACCAUCCUCAUCUUUAUCCUCAUCUUCAUUUGUUACCUUCUUGCUGCCUUUCAUGAUACUGAGUCGUAUUUCAUGGGACGUGAAACAAUCAACUGAACAUCACACAACGCAAACUCCCAAGUGUCUGUUGAUCGAUUUUUGUGUCUCCAAAUACACAAAACACCUUUCAUCUACUUCUUCCUUCUUCUUCAUCUUCCUUCAACAUCUUAUCUUCUUCUUUUUCAUCAUCAUCAUCAUCAUUAUCAUCCUCCUCUCUCUCUCUUUCCCUUUCUCUUCCUUUACGUGUUUUCAUUCCUAAGUGAGAUUCAAGUAAAUUACUGGGCAAAAAAACUAAGAAAGGUUGUAACAAUUAACGAUUAAUGGCUAACUUUUUGUUUAUGGAUCAGUCUACAAAUUGGCUUGAAAAUUGUAAUUGUUGAUUGAUGGGUCAACAGCAAUCAAUCUCAUCAUCAAAAAGUUGUUCCUCAUGAAAAGUCAAAGCAUCAUUAUAAAUCAAAUAAAACUAAACCGGACAAGAUGGACCAGAAAUGGCUGAAUCAGGAAUGACCGAAGCAAAAUGGAAAGAAUCAGGAAUGGUCAAACAAUCUAAAAUUGAACCACAGAGUUGAAAUUGUUAAGGACCAUAAAGUCUAACCAUUAAGUGAAACCAGAAAAGCUAACCAGAAAGUCUAACCAGAAAGUUGAAAUAGAUUAAUCAAUAUGUAUCGGUGUUUACAUUGUUACGCAUAGAAGCCUAUUAUAUCUAAUCUGAUAUUUAAUCAUUUUCAAUUAGAUACUUGAUUGACUUUUUAAGGUUAAAUAUUAUGUUGUUCAACAAUUUUGUCGCCUGCGUAAUUUGAUUACUGAGUCAACAGUAAAUGUAUUCCUUUAAUUGGUAUACUUUUUGCAAAUGUUUAUUGAAUCUUCAAUUGAAACUCUAUCUACCUGCUUGAUCAUGCUGAGCUUAAAUAAUAAAUUUAAUCAGAGUAAUGGAUCAGAUCAAACUGAUUGAUUUACAUCGAAAUAUUAACAAAUAUUAAAUAGCAGAAAAAAAAGUUAAUAAAUUUGCCUUGUUAAUAGUUGAUCAAAUACGAAGAUAUAUUUAUAAUUGAUGCUUGGUUCAUCAAUUGCAUUUGUUAAGUUCAGCAAUUAUGGAUCAAGAAAAAUGAAUAAAUUUAGGUAAAACGAUUGUAAAAUUGGUUGUAACACUUGAAAUUGUAUAGUCAAUUGAAUUUAUCUUUGAAUAACAGCUGAAUCAUGUAACUCUAUUUAUUUAUGUAUUUUUGAAUGUUAAGGUCAAGAACUAUUUCUUCUUCUUUCCUCUCCUUUUUUUAAUACUGUUAAAGCUGUUUUACAUGUUUUUCCGUGGUUCACUGGAUCCAGGAUGGUGAAAAAGAGGAUUCAGAAAUGAACAUAGAGAUUGAUACAGUUGAAGGGGAAAAAAAGUAAAAUCAAUAAAAAGCUUUAUGUAAAAUAAUUAUUGGUCAACAGAGAAAAGGCUCUCCACUAAAUAAAUGUAAACAUAAACACAGAAAAAGGAGGCUUUUCUUCUCAUAUCAUAUUUAAGUUGAUCUAAAUUCAAUCGUGUCAUAUUGAUUCAAAUAUAAUCAGUUAAUUCAAUUGAAUUUAAUAUUAAAGUGGAUGAUUGAAGGUGUCAAAAAAGGCGCCUUCAUGGAUCAGCCAAUGUAAAUGCUUGAAAAAGGCGCAUUUAUUUAUAUCUUUCACUUUUACUCUUUUGUCCCUUCUUCUGGUUUCUGUUCAUGACAGCUUUGUUUGUCUUCAUUUUUAUAUUUGAUGUCCGUUAUUUAAAUUACCAGUGUACAGUUUGAUGAUCAAUUAAUUAUCAGUGAAUGUAUUAAAAUGUGUUACUUACUUGACUCUCUACCAAAGUUGCCAUAUCUAGAAACAUUUCGUGUAAUUCAACUAUACUUUUUUCUAACUUUUUAAUAUCUGCAUGGCGAGCUUCAAUAUCUGCCAGUGUUUGCCUCAUCUGAGCUGUAUCUGUAACAAUCUGUGAUUUAUAUAACAAUUGGAAAAAAAGACAAAAACAAAUGUUUAAUCAACAUAUUAUUAUGGUAAAAUCAACUGGACAUGUUUUCAAUCAAUUGAGACAUGUAUAAAUAAAAUGGCUUACCCCUUCUGUAAAUAUUUGAGCGCUUUCACCACUUUCAAGCAUUUCUUCAACCUCCUCUGCUGUUGUUGUCUUACCAGCUAUUUAAUUAAUAGUUAAUCAAGAAUCCAGGAGAAAACAUAAAUUAUUAGUUAAUACAAUGUAACAUAAAUUUUAUUCCAAGUAUCCUUGUAACUUUAACUUCGCAAUCAAUGAUUGAUCAUUACAAUGGUGAUAACAAUGCUUCUACAGCUUUCUAUCAAUGCUUAAUUGUCUAUCCAUUUUUUAUUUCCAAUGAAAUGAGAUAAGCAUUUUGGAAUACCGAAUUAACCACAAAUUGGUGCUUAAAGCUGUCAUGUAUCCGGCUCGUUAAAUUUGCUGUUAAGCGAUCAAAGGAAAAUCAAGCUGAUAAAAGGUGCUAAAUUAUCAAUUAGACUCAUCUGCUUCAAGUUAAUGCUAUCUCCAUGUUGGAUCUAUUUUUACCAUUGAUUUUGAAAUUCGGAAUGCAUAAGUAUGGUGCAAUCGAGUCACGCAGACCUGGACCAUUGGACCUGGGCCAACUUACCAAUUUCAAGUUGUCGUUGUAUCCUUGCUUUACACCUUUCUCGGUAAUCGACUUGGGUUUGAUUGUAGUCUGUCAUUGUUUGAACAAACUUCUGUAAAAGCAUUGAAUGUUGAGUUUUCCUGAUUCGAAAAUCGGCCGACAUAUCACCGGAUUCCUCCAUCUUCUCUAUCUCCUGUUCCAUUGCUUUUAAUCGGCCACGAACCACAUUUGAAUUUUUCUUAAUCGUUGUCAUCAGACCAUCUAAUUGAACCUUCAGCUCUAAAUUUUUUGGACAAGAUAAAAGGGAGAAACAACAAAAACAAAUAUGUUAUAAAAACGGAAAAGGGUAAUAAGUUAAGCUAAUUUUAAUGUUCAUCAUCAUCAACAUAAUAUACACAUUAUAAUGUACAUUUAUAAUAAUAACCACAAUAAUGUCUAGUUAAUAAGUUAAAUCAAGAAACAAGAUCAGAAUGGUAGAAAAAUGAAGUAAAGUCACCAAAAUUCAUAAUAAUUUUUAUCUAAUAAAACCACUUUUUGUGUGUUCAACUACAGUAAAAGUAUCAUUAUGGAUAAUGGUUAUUAUAAUGAUUUAAUUAAAAUAGUAAGAAUCGCUUCUAAAAGUGAUUAACAUAAGAUUAAGAUAAUUGAUCUUUAUUAAAAUAAAUUACAAUGUUUUUCA